GUGGGCUAUGGGGAUAUGUGUCCCAUUACCAUGGGGGGCAAGAUGGUGGGCACACUCUGUGCCAUUGCUGGUGUGUUGACCAUUGCGCUGCCUGUACCUGUCAUCGUCUCCAAC
Molecule: regulatory RNA element, 114 nt
Organism: Scleropages formosus (Asian bonytongue)
Lineage: Eukaryota; Metazoa; Chordata; Actinopteri; Osteoglossiformes; Osteoglossidae
Rfam family: Potassium channel RNA editing signal
About the family: This family represents a group of sequences related to the human potassium channel Kv1.1 hairpin element which directs the efficient modification of an adenosine to inosine by an adenosine deaminase acting on RNA (ADAR). The ADAR modification causes an isoleucine/valine recoding event which lies in the ion-conducting pore of the potassium channel. It is thought that this editing event targets the process of fast inactivation and allows a more rapid recovery from inactivation at negative potentials.
Source: Rfam